CAAUAGCGUAUAUUAAAGUUGUUGCGGUUAAAAAGCUCGUAGUUGGAUUUCUGCUGAGAACGGCCGGUCCGCCCUUUGGGUGUGUAUCUGGCUCUUUCUUGGCAUCUUCUUGGUGAACGUUGCUGCACUUGACUGUGUGGAGCGCUACCCAGGACUUUUACUUUGAGGAAAUUAGAGUGUUUCAAGCAGGCAUACGCCUUGAAUACAUUAGCAUGGAAUAAUAAGAUAGGACCUCGGUUCUAUUUUGUUGGUUUCUAGAGCUGAGGUAAUGAUUAAUAGGGAUAGUUGGGGGCAUUCGUAUUUAACUGUCAGAGGUGAAAUUCUUGGAUUUGUUAAAGACGGACUACUGCGAAANCANNNGCCAAGGAUGUUUUCAUNGA
This 380-nucleotide ribosomal RNA is filed under the name uncultured eukaryote. RNAcentral's name for it is "partial 18S ribosomal RNA". It matches the Rfam family "Eukaryotic small subunit ribosomal RNA", at positions 592 to 976 of the family's 1831-position model. The record is from RNAcentral.